Molecule: ribosomal RNA, 492 nt
Filed under: uncultured bacterium
Lineage: Bacteria
Description: partial 16S ribosomal RNA
Rfam family: Bacterial small subunit ribosomal RNA
Source: RNAcentral
AGUGAACGCUGGCGGUAGGCCUAACACAUGCAAGUCGAACGGCAGCACAGUAAGAGCUUGCUCUUACGGGUGGCGAGUGGCGGACGGGUGAGGAAUACAUCGGAAUCUACUUUUUCGUGGGGGAUAACGUAGGGAAACUUACGCUAAUACCGCAUACGACCUACGGGUGAAAGCAGGGGUUCUUCGGACCUUUCGCGAUUGAAUGAGCCGAUGUCGGAUUAGCUAGUUGGCGGGGUAAAGGCCCACCAAGGCGACGAUCCGUAGCUGGUCUGAGAGGAUGAUCAGCCACACUGGAACUGAGACACGGUCCAGACUCCUACGGGAGGCAGCAGUGGGGAAUAUUCGACAAUGGGCGAAAGCCUGAUCCAGCCAUACCGCGUGGGUGAAGAAGGCCUUCGGGUUGUAAAGCCCUUUUGUUGGGAAAGAAAAGCAGCAGAUUAAUACCCCGCUGUUCUGACGGUACCCAAAGAAUAAGCACCGGCUAACUUCGUG